GUCAUAGACGCGAAACCUAGUGAUCUAGGCCUGUCCAGGCUGAAGCUGAGGUAAGACUCAGUGGAGGGCCGAACUCACCGCCGUUGAAAAGUUGGGAGAUGAGAUAGGUCUAGGGGUGAAAAGCCAAUCGAACUAGGAGAUAGCUCGUUCUCUCCGAAAUGCAUUUAGGUGCAGCCUUGAACUGAGAUAUGUGGGGGUAGAGCUCUGUAUGAUCUAGGGGGCGUACUGCUUACCGAAAUCAAGCAAACUGCGAAUACCAUAUAUCAUGUUCAGGAGUGAGUCCGUGGAUGACAAGGUCCUCGGACGAGAGGGGAACAGCCCAGACCGCCAGCUAAGGUCCCUAAUUAUGUCUAAGUGGGAAAGGAGGUGGACAUUCAUAGACAACCAGGAGGUUGGCUUAGAAGCAGCCAUGCCUUGAAAGAGUGCGUAAUAGCUCACUGGUCGAGAGUGCCUGCGCCGAAGAUGUAACGGGGCUAAGACAUAAACCGAAGCUGCGGAAGAUACACUGUAUCUUGGUAGGAGAGCGUUCUGUAGGCCGUCGAAGGGAUGCCGCAAGGCCGUCCUGGAGGUAUCAGAAGCGAGAAUGCAGGAAUGAGUAGCGAGAAGGCGGGCGAGAAUCCCGCCGGCCGGAAGUCCAAGGUUUCCAGGGGAAGGCUUGUCCGCCCUGGGGAAGUCGGGACCUAAGCAUAAGCAAAAUUGUGAUGGCGAAUGGAAAACAGGUUAAUAUUCCUGUACCGCUGUUAUCGCUUGAGAGACGGAGUGACGCAGGAAGGUAUGCGAGAAGGCUGACGGUUUAGCCUUUCUAAGGGCCCAGCGUGGGCGUGCAGGUAAAUCCGCACGCCUAAACGUGAGACCUGACGGGGAAGUGCAUUUGCAUAAGUCGCAGAUCCUACACUGCCAAGAAAAACUUCUAUCGAUGAGAAGCAGCGCCCGUACUGUAAACCGACACAGGUGGACAGAGUGAGAAACUUAAGGCCGACAGGAUAACUCUAGCUAAGGAACUCUGCAAAAUAGCCCCGUAACUUCGGGAGAAGGGGUGCCUGACAUACCUGAAGGAGAGAAGCGCUCCCAGGGGAAACAGGCCGCAGUGAAGAGUCUCAAGCAACUGUUUACCAAAAACACAGGUCUAUGCUAAGCUGAAAGGCGACGUAUAUGGGCUGACACCUGCCCAGUGCCGGAAGGUUAAGAGGAGGAGUGAGAGCUCCGAUUUGAAGCCCCGGUGAACGGCGGCCGUAACUAUAACGGUCCUAAGGUAGCGAAAUUCCUUGUCGGGUAAG
This 1277-nucleotide ribosomal RNA is filed under the name human metagenome. RNAcentral describes it as "bacterial LSU rRNA". It matches the Rfam family "Bacterial large subunit ribosomal RNA", at positions 706 to 1980 of the family's 2925-position model. The record is from RNAcentral.